Molecule: ribosomal RNA, 293 nt
Filed under: Pseudomonas sp. TTU2014-105ASC
Lineage: Bacteria; Pseudomonadati; Pseudomonadota; Gammaproteobacteria; Pseudomonadales; Pseudomonadaceae
Description: partial 16S ribosomal RNA
Rfam family: Bacterial small subunit ribosomal RNA
Source: RNAcentral
GAACUGAAGAGUUUGAUCAUGGCUCAGAUUGAACGCUGGCGGCAGGCCUAACACAUGCAAGUCGAGCGGAUGAAGAGAGCUUGCUCUCUGAUUCAGCGGCGGACGGGUGAGUAAUGCCUAGGAAUCUGCCUAUUAGUGGGGGACAACGUUUCGAAAGGAACGCUAAUACCGCAUACGUCCUACGGGAGAAAGCAGGGGACCUUCGGGCCUUGCGCUAAUAGAUGAGCCUAGGUCGGAUUAGCUAGUUGGUGAGGUAAAGGCUCACCAAGGCGACGAUCCGUAACUGGUCUGAG